UACGUAGGGUGCAAGCGUUGUCCGGAAUUAUUGGGCGUAAAGAGCUCGUAGGCGGUUCGUCGCGUCGGGAGUGAAAGCCCGCUGCUUAACGGCGGGUUGGCUUCCGGUACGGGCAUCGCUGGAGUGCGGCAGGGGAGACUGGAAUUCCUGGUGUAGCGGUGGAAUGCGCAGAUAUCAGGAGGAACACCGGUGGCGAAGGCGGGUCUCUGGGCCGUUACUGACGCUGAGGAGCGAAAGCGUGGGGAGCGAACAGU
This 254-nucleotide ribosomal RNA is filed under the name uncultured bacterium. RNAcentral describes it as "partial 16S ribosomal RNA". It matches the Rfam family "Bacterial small subunit ribosomal RNA", at positions 524 to 776 of the family's 1533-position model. The record is from RNAcentral.